RNAcentral lists this unclassified non-coding RNA (181 nucleotides) under Chaetocladium jonesii. RNAcentral describes it as "partial internal transcribed spacer 2". Lineage: Eukaryota; Fungi; Mucoromycota; Mucoromycetes; Mucorales; Chaetocladiaceae. The record is from RNAcentral.
UUGUUUAGGAUUACUGGGAGCCUCUCGAUCUGCAUAGAUUUUGAAACUCUUGAAAUAUAAAAAGGCCUGAACUUUUUGUUGAAUUUGCCUGAACUCUUUUUUUUUUAAUACAAAAAGGAAAAAGCUCUAGUGAUAUUUGACUUUUAUUGGGGGCCUUCCAAAUAAAACAAUUUUUUUUUAA